Molecule: ribosomal RNA, 328 nt
Filed under: Actinomycetota bacterium
Lineage: Bacteria; Bacillati; Actinomycetota
Description: bacterial SSU rRNA
Rfam family: Bacterial small subunit ribosomal RNA
Source: RNAcentral
GAUCUCGACGGAGAGUUUGAUCCUGGCUCAGGACGAACGCUGGCGGCGUGCCUAACACAUGCAAGUCGAACGAUAACCCGGAGCUUGCUCCGGGGGACAGUGGCGAACGGGUGAGUAACACGUGAGGAACCUGCCCUAGAGACCGGGACAACCAUUGGAAACGAUGGCUAAUACCGGAUGCCUUCACAUGGUCGCAUGACCGAGUGAAGAAAUGCUCAGGCGCUCUAGGAGGGUCUCGCGACCUAUCAGCUAGUUGGUGAGGUAAUGGCUCACCAAGGCAUCGACGGGUAGCUGGUCUGAGAGGACGAUCAGCCACACUGGGACUGAG